RNAcentral lists this long non-coding RNA (225 nucleotides) under Phaseolus vulgaris (common bean). RNAcentral's name for it is "long non-coding RNA (PVUL_LNC000614)". The record is from RNAcentral. Lineage: Eukaryota; Viridiplantae; Streptophyta; Magnoliopsida; Fabales; Fabaceae.
UAUUAUUUCAUUUCUGUCCAGCUUUCAAUUCUUGUUCUUCAUUCCUUGUUGUUUGAUUCCAUUUGACAAUAUAUGGACUUCCAUAUGAGCUUUGGUUGGUGCAAAGUCUUGGUGAGUUCUUGAAUUAGAACAUUGAUCCAAUUCUAAGUAAGGUGCCAUUUAUGACCAACUCAAGUUGCUCCUAAGAAUGUCAAAGAAUCAUGUAUUCUUGUUAUUGCAUUCACA